This 418-nucleotide ribosomal RNA is filed under the name Dreissena rostriformis. RNAcentral's name for it is "partial small subunit ribosomal RNA". It matches the Rfam family "Eukaryotic small subunit ribosomal RNA", at positions 30 to 432 of the family's 1831-position model. The record is from RNAcentral. Lineage: Eukaryota; Metazoa; Mollusca; Bivalvia; Myida; Dreissenidae.
GCUUGUCUCAAAGAUUAAGCCAUGCAUGUCCAAGUACACGCCUUCACACGGCGAGACUGCGAAUGGCUCAUUAAAUCAGUUAUGGUUCCUUAGAUCGUACAAUCCUACUUGGAUAACUGUGGCAAUUCUAGAGCUAAUACAUGCAACGAAGCUCCGACCCCGCGAGGGGAAAGAGCGCUUUUGUUAGCCCAGACCAACGCGGUCGCUCUCGGGCGGCCGCAACCAGUGGUGACUCUGGACAACUUUGUGCCGAUCGCACGGCCCUGGUGCCGGCGACGUAUCUUUCAAGUGUCUGCCCUAUCAACUGUCGACUGUGAUAUAGACGCUCACAGUGGUUUUGACGGGUAACGGGGAAUCAGGGUUCGAUUCCGGAGAGGGAGCCUUAAAAACGGCUACCACAUCCAAGGAAGGCAGCAGG